Bufo bufo (common toad) is the source of this 68-nucleotide small nucleolar RNA. RefSeq annotates it as small nucleolar RNA SNORD50. The record is from RefSeq and is a predicted model, not a curated record. The transcript has a single exon. NCBI's taxonomy places the organism in Eukaryota, Metazoa, Chordata, Amphibia, Anura, Bufonidae.
GAACCAUGAUGAGUCUAUCCCGAACCUGAGUGUAUGAUGACACUACUUAUGGAUCUGACUGCUGAGUU